This 403-nucleotide ribosomal RNA is filed under the name uncultured bacterium. RNAcentral's name for it is "bacterial SSU rRNA". It matches the Rfam family "Bacterial small subunit ribosomal RNA", at positions 362 to 758 of the family's 1533-position model. The record is from RNAcentral.
UUUUGGGCAAUGGGGGCAACCCUGAUGCAGCCAUGCCGCGUGAAUGAAGAAGGCCUUCGGGUUGUAAAGUUCUUUCGGCGAUGACGAAGUAGGAUGUUUAAAUACGGCAUUCAAUUGACGUUAAUCACAGAAGAAGCACCGGCUAACUCCGUGCCAGCAGCCGCGGUAAUACGGAGGGUGCGAGCGUUAAUCGGAAUAACUGGGCGUAAAGGGCACGCAGGCGGAUAAUUAAGUGAGAUGUGAAAUCCCCGAGCUUAACUUGGGAAUUGCAUUUCAUACUGGUUAUCUAGAGUAUUGUAGAGAGGGGUAGAAUUCCACGUGUAGCGGUGAAAUGCGUAGAUAUGUGGAGGAACACCGGAGGCGAAGGCGGCCCCCUGACAAAGACUGGCGCUCAUGUGCGAAA